GGGGUUGUAGCUCAGUGGUUGAGCGCUUGCCUUGCACGCAUGAGGCCCUGGAUUUGGUCCCCAGCACCA
This 69-nucleotide transfer RNA is filed under the name Ictidomys tridecemlineatus (thirteen-lined ground squirrel). RNAcentral describes it as "Spermophilus tridecemlineatus (thirteen-lined ground squirrel) tRNA". It matches the Rfam family "tRNA". Rfam says of the family: Transfer RNA (tRNA) molecules are approximately 80 nucleotides in length. Their secondary structure includes four short double-helical elements and three loops (D, anti-codon, and T loops). Lineage: Eukaryota; Metazoa; Chordata; Mammalia; Rodentia; Sciuridae. The record is from Rfam by way of RNAcentral.